CCUACGGGUGGCAGCAGUGAGGAAUAUUGGUCAAUGGGCGAGAGCCUGAACCAGCCAAGUAGCGUGAGGGAUGACUGCCCUACGGGUUGUAAACUUCUUUUGUAGGGGAGUAAAGUGCGGCACGUGUGCCUUUUUGUCUGUACUCUAUGAAUAAGGAUCGGCUAACUCCGUGCCAGCAGCCGCGGUAAUACGGAGGAUCCGAGCGUUAUCCGGAUUUAUUGGGUUUAAAGGGAGCGUAGAUGGGUGGGUAAGUCAGUCGUGAAAGUUUGCGGCUCAACCGUAACAUUGCCAUUGAUACUGGCAGUCUUGAGUACAGUUGAGGUAGGCGGAAUUCGUGGUGUAGCGGUGAAAUGCUUAGAUAUCACGAAGAACUCCGAUUGCGAAGGCAGCUUACUAACCUGCCACUGACAUUGAUGCUCGAAAGCGUGGGUAUCAAACAGGAUUAGAUACCCGUGUAGUC
RNAcentral lists this ribosomal RNA (460 nucleotides) under uncultured bacterium. RNAcentral describes it as "partial 16S ribosomal RNA". It matches the Rfam family "Bacterial small subunit ribosomal RNA", at positions 338 to 795 of the family's 1533-position model. The record is from RNAcentral.